GCCUGGAAGGGUAGUGGUGGAAGUCAUGUUGGACAACCUCUUGGAGACAGGGUGGAGGAGGAAUGGGAUGGGCAGGCCUUGGGAAACUGUGUGUGGGCAGACCAGGAAGGGGCAAUGACUGGACUGUGAAAAAUGAAAGUAAUAAAAUAUUUUAAAAGAAGAAAAAAGAAACCUAGUCUAUAGUAGUACCCCUCAUAAUCUCAAAGAUAGAAAGAGAGAAUAAGAUGAAAGAUAAUAGACUAGAUACAGAGAUCACCAAAUAUAUGAUGAUCUUGAAAAACGUGGACUCUGAUUGAAUAACUUUCAUAUUGGUAGAUCCUGAAAGUUCUUUCUAAUAAGUCUCCAAUAAAAUGAACACUAUUGGUUAAAGCCAUACUUGGAGUUCUACAGAAUCCCCCAAUUUUUUUCACCUAUGGAUGCCAUCCCAGAGCUUAGUACCAUGAGUACAGCAUUGAAAAGGAUUAGGAUAAUUUCAUGAAGGACAUUUUGGAAGAUAUGUCACAAGUCCUAUUGCUUCACUUAAGUUAAAGUGUUAUUUCUUACCCAUGUUUAGAAACAACAUUGUGAGAAUUGGCUGAGAGCUGGAGAGGUUGCUUCUGGAUUUUGAAAAAUAUAGUCAUUUGAUGGAUAUCAGACACCUGUGCAUCCAGUGUCUAUAGAACAUAAGGUUCUUUUCUAUCCAGUGUCUGGAGACAUCAGAUUUAUGGCCCUACUAUGUGAGCAGUGGGAUUGAUGGUGAUGACUCAUUUUGGGUGAAGCACUAAGGUGGAUUUGUAUGUAUCUGGGAGUAAAUCUGUACUGGACAUAUUAAGCAGAAUUAUGUUCCCUCUAAAUUUGCAAUCUGGGUUCCUAAAUGCCAGUACUGAUAAAAUUGCUAGAACUAGAAAUACAGCCUUUAAUAUAUAGCCUAUGUAAAAUAAUAUCUUAUGCAUUGACACUAAUCUUAUAUGGCUAAUAUCGUAACAAGAUAUUGAGAAAAUAUCAGACGUAUGCUAUGGUUGUGCUUUAAAGUAAAGCCAGGUUUCAUAUUGAGAAAACAGAGUGUUCAUAAAGGCUAUUGACGUUUUACUUUGUUCUCAGAGAAAAGUAAGACAUAAGGAAUAAAAGUUGUGUCACUCACUAUUGUAUUAACAGUUUGGGAAUUGUGUUUGUUCAAUGCAAAGAUUAUAUAUUGUUUAAAAUGCUGAUAUGGUACAACAUUUGAAAAUCUCUCAGUGAAAUCAUCCAUAUAAACAAACCGAAAAAGAAUAAAACCUACACAAUCAUCUCGUCAGAAGUUGAAAAAAGCCAUUUAAAAAGUCCAAUACCCCUUCAUGAUAAAAGUCUUGAAGAGACCAGAGAUAAAGGGGAUAUACCUAAUCAGAAAAGACAAAUGACAGGAAUCUUUUAGCUAACAUCAAGUUAAAUGAAGAGAAACUCAGAGAUAUUUUACUAAAAUCAGAAACAUGAAAAGGCUAUUCUACCCCUUCACUACAACUUAGAACAAUAAGAAAACUGAAAGAGAUAAAAUGGAUACAAAUUACCACUAUUUGGAAAUGAUAUGAUAGUAUAAAUAAAUAGUCUCAAAUUUUCUAUCUGGGUGGGAACUCCUACAAAAGAUAAACACCCUCAGCAAAGUGGCUGUAUAUUAGGUUAACU
This 1638-nucleotide long non-coding RNA is filed under the name Mus musculus (house mouse). RNAcentral's name for it is "long non-coding RNA chr5:7075666-7077304". The record is from RNAcentral. Lineage: Eukaryota; Metazoa; Chordata; Mammalia; Rodentia; Muridae.